GUUACCAUUAUUGUAUCACAGGGUUAAUUUGAUUAUAAUAUGAUCCGGACAUUACGGUCCGAGUUUUAGUAUGAUCCGGACAUUGCGGUCCAAGCUUUAGUAUGAUCCGGACAUUGCGGUCCGGACGUUAGUCGUACCCUUUGGCAAUCUUAGAGGAAGUUUGCAAUGGCGUGCUCCGGCACUGUACACAUUUCAUGUCAAAGGAAACUUUAGGUCCCCCACAGGGUGAGUUUAUUCCCUGCCCAUAUCAAUUCUUGCCGAUCGAACAUUUAUUGCAUUGAUUAUAUGAUUGUCAACAUUAGUCUGUAAAAGAUAUGAUCUGUAUGUGUGUUCGAAAUGUCAGUCAUAUGAACUGUCUGUCAUUCAGUGAAGCACAUGGUCCGUGCCAUCUAGUCAUGUUUAGGAUCUAUAUAUGUCAGUAUUAUUUCGUAUAUUAGUUUAUUAAUAUGUCUUAUGUAAAUUCUACUCAGCGACAGUGUAGGAAUAAGACAUCAGACGAAUUAUAGUUGUAUUUUGGUCAGAAAGCGAUUAGGUCAAUUCGUCCUAUUAUUACUUACCUUGGACAAAACGUCCUAUUAGUCAUUUGAGUUAAUUAUAUCUAUAAAUGUGUUUUAAACUAUUGUUGUUACUCUGUCCAUCCAUGAAUACUCCAAAGAUAGUGUAUAUAUAUCCAGCAAAGAAAUCUAGUCAGUUUAUUAAGUGAUAUUUGUGUUAAAUAUCCGAUUAUUGCUCAAAAUCAGUUUUGUAUUCGAAUAUCAGUGAAAGAAAGGCAUAUGUUAGACAUAAUGGUUUGCAUAGUGACAGUGUGUACAUCUGUAUCAUAUUCUCAUUGUGUUUUCAUUUUCAUAUGUUGUAGUCUUUUACCUUCCUCCGGGGAGUUUUGUGGAAUAAAGUCGUAUAACAUCACAGUAAAAGACCUGCGACUCAGACCUCAGGAUCUGUAAAGAUGGAUUCAAUACAUGAACAACGCACCAGAAACCUGACACCAGGAGGAGAAACACUUUUCCUAAGCAGGGUAGAAGACUUCUGCAAAAGUUUGUCAAAACAAGGAGAGAGGAUUAACGGAUUAAUCAGUCAGACCAUGACCAGUAUGGAAGAAGGUUUAAUAGAUGAGCUAGCUAAGAGCAGGACAGUCUAUUUGGAUAUUUCGAAUCAAUUCAUUGAUUUCCUCCAUAGGACACGUACCAUGGACAGUGCUAGGGAACUUUCUGCUCAUGGCCUUAUUCGUGAAAGUUUUCUGUCAAAGAUUGAUUUAGCUUUAGAGGCCACUCAGAAGUAUGUACCACCUAAAAUAGAACACGAGGAAUCAAAAUCACCUAAUGCUGGACACAAGACACCUUGCCAUUCGUCGAAAGCUUCAUCAUGUUCAUCUCAGUCGAGUCGCUCGCACAAGUCGUCUGCAAGUUACAUAUUAACGAAACAAAGAUUGAAACAUGAAAGGGCAAAGGUUCAACUAGAAUUUAUGAAGAAAGAGGCUCAAGUUCUGAAACAACAAGCAGAGGUUGAUGUGAGUCUUAAAUUGCUGCGGUCAGAAAGAAACUUGAAAGAGGCGGAGGCUGAGCUUGAUGCAGUUCAUGAUCUUAUUGAGGAAGAGAAUGGAUCUGUUGAUUAUGAUAUAAGGUCGACUAAAAAAGAAAGAACAGCUGCAUUUGUGAAUAGUGCAAUUGAUCAUGUUGGUCGCGAGGUAAUGCAACCAAGUCCUACACCUGGUGUGCUUCAACAACCAAGUCCUGCACCUGGUACGCUUCAACAACCAAGUUUGGCGCAUGGUAUGCUUCAACAACCAAGUUUGUUGCCUGGUAUGCUUCAACAACCAAGUCUGUCACCUGGUGUGCUUCAACAACCAAGUCUGUCGCCUGGUAUGCUUCAACAACCAAGUCCUGCACCUGGUAUGCUUCAACAACCAAGUUUGUCGCCUGGUAUGCUUCAACAACCAAGUCCUGCACCUGGUAUGCUUCAACAACCAAGUCUGUUGCCUGGUAUGCUUCAACAACCAAGUUCGUCACCUGGUAUGCUUCAGCCAACAAAUUCACCUGCAUGUGGCAUGCUUCGUCCAGAGGCCACCGAAUUCCAACCAACAUGCAGAGAUACCAAUGAACUCACAAAGUUUCUAAUGAAAAGAGAUUUAUUAUUGUCUAGAUUCACACAGUUUUCGGACGAACCACAACGUUACACAUUGUGGAAAAAUAGUUUUAAGAAUCUCAUUAGGGAGCUUGAAGUCACUGCUACAGAAGAACUUGAUCUACUUAUCAGAUGGUUAGGACCCGAGUCCACCCAACAAGCUUUGAGCCUCAGGGCUGCACACACUCAUGAUGAAAGAUUAGCAAUCAUAAGGAUUUGGGAGAGACUUGACAGUCGUUACGGCGCUCCAGAACUUGUUAUACAUUCCUUCAAGAAAAGGCUUGAGGUAUUACCCAAAUUAACAUACAAAGAUAAUGUAAAGAUGUAUGAACUGUCAGACCUACUCAUUGAGAUGCAAGCCUUAAAGGAGAAUGUCAUGUACACCACUUCCCUGGCCUACCUAGAUUCUUCAGCUGGAAUCAACCCCAUAGUGGCCAAACUUCCAGCAUUCAUACAAAGGAAAUGGACGGAUACAGCGUUUAGAUACAAGAAAGACCAAGGCGUCCUUUAUCCACCAUUCAACAUUUUCACUGGCUUCAUGAAGGGUAUGACGGAACGAUUGAACGAUCCAGGUCUGCAGUUUGACCCUCAACAAUCGACACAGGUCAAAGCCCAGGUUAACAGUGUUGGUAAACGGACCGGAAAUAGAAUGAUGCUGUCUGCUAAGAAGACUAAUGUAGAGAAACCAGUCCCUCCAGCUCAUAUUUGUCCUAUUCAUGGUGGAAGUGCCCGUCAUAGCUUGAAAGACUGUCGCUUAUUCCUAGCCAAGACUGUGCUGGAAAGGAAAGAAGUGCUUAAAAAGAACGGUUAUUGCUUUAAAUGCUGUGAGGACAAACACCUAGCGAAAACCUGUAAAGUAGCUGUGAAGUGUGAUAUUUGUGGUGGUAGUCGUCACCCUACAGUACUUCAUGAACAAUUUCUCUCGGAGAAGUCCCCACCAGUCCAUGGAGGGGAGUGUAGUCCUUCAUCACCUCCCGGAAGAGAACCAAACUAUCUUCAAGCUAGUAGCAGUUGCACACAAGUGUGUAAGGACUCCAGGGGAUUCAGCAAAUCAUGUGCUAAAACAAUUUUGGUCAAAGUCUAUCCUAAAGGAGAGCCAGACAAAUCCAUCCGUCUCUACGCCAUAAUAGACGAUCAAAGCAACAUGUCGUUAGCCAGAACAGCCUUUUUCGACAGCUUUGGAGAAAAUAGCCAAUAUACAGAAUAUACCAUGGCUUCUUGUUCUGGACUUAAUUCCUCCUCUGGAAGGAAGGCGCAAGGAUACGUUGUGGAGUCAAUGGAUGGAGAUUUUGCUCUUGAUCUACCAGUCUUACUGGAAUGUGACAAUAUCCCAAAUAACCGUAAUGAAAUACCUACCCCUGAGGCGGCUCACUUCCAUUCUCAUCUGCGGGACAUCUCUCAACACCUUCGACCUCUCGAUAGGAACGCAGAUAUUCUGAUGUUGAUAGGUCGUGACAUGCCUGCAGCACACCACAUCAUAGAUCAGAGGAUAGGGCCCUCAGAUGGACCAUAUGCGCAGCGCCUCAAGCUCGGAUGGGUAGUUGUUGGUGAGGUGUGUCUUGGUAAAGUUCACCAGACAUCCUACAUCACUGCAAAUAAGGUACACACCCUUGCCAAUGGUCGUCCUUCAUUAUUGGAACCUUGUCCCAAUUGCUUCGACUUCAAAGAAGACAUUCCUAAGACAGAUAACUUCCCCCUGUUUGUAAAGAAUCCCCAUGAUGAUAAACCUGGUCUUUCCUUGGAGGACAAAGAGUUUUUGCAUGUGAUGGACACUGGCUUCAGGAAAAAUGAUCAUGGUCAGUGGGAAGCUCCUCUUCCAUUAAAAACGGAUCGUCCGCGACUGCCUGACAACAGGGCUCAGAGUCUACGAAGGGCAAGGACCUUGGAUACAAGUCUCCGAAGAGACUCUCAGAAAUGUUCCCAUAUGAUGGAGUUCAUGUCUAAAGUGUUGGAUAAGGGACACGCAGAAGUUGCCUCUGAUCUUGACGAUGAAGAAGAGCGUUGGUAUUUGCCUCUCUUUGGAAUUUACCAUCCUAAAAAGCCAGAUAAAAUUCGUUGUGUUUUUGACUCUUCGGCUAAGGAAAAUGGCCUGUCGCUAAACAGCGUGCUCAUGACAGGUCCAGAUCUUACUAACAGCCUUCUGGGUGUUUUACUCAGGUUUCGGAAAGACCCUAUUGCUAUCAUGGCGGAUGUAGAACAAAUGUUCUACUGCUUCAAAGUAGUCCAGGAACACCGCAAUUUUCUGAGAUUCUUCUGGUACGCAGACAACUCUAUUGCCAAGCCGUUGAUCGAGUAUCGAAUGACUGCUCAUGUCUUCGGGAAUUCGCCGUCUCCAGCAGUUGCAACCUAUGGUCUUAGAAAGGCAGCAGAGAAUUCUGACGAGGACAUUCGGAAUUUUGUUACACAGAAUUUUUAUGUAGAUGACGGACUAGCUUCCGCACCGAAUGUGACUACCGCUGUAUCACUCAUUAAGAGAACCCAAAGGUGUCUACAGGAAAACGGUGGAAUAAGACUUCACAAAGUUGCAUCCAAUUCAAGAGAGGUACUUGAAACCUUUGAUCGUGAGGACUUGGCAGGAGAUAUCAGAGAUCUCAAUCUUUCAACAGACUGCCCACCAGUCCAGCGCAGUCUGGGAUUACUUUGGAAUCUGGCCUCAGAUUCAUUUAUCUUUAGUGCAGGAGUAACUGAAAAGGCUUACACCAGACGAGGUCUUUUAUCAACCAUCAACGGUAUCUAUGACCCAAUCGGAUUUGCAGCUCCUGUUAUUCUGCGGGGUAGGUUGCUCUUCAGAGAUCUCGUUAAGUUGUCUUCUGAGUGGGAUGAACCGCUGCCAGAGGAACGACGUCGGGAGUGGGAAUCUUGGUACAGUUCCCUUGGACAGCUCCGCACUUGUUCUAUCCCUCGACAGUAUGUAAUUGGUACAGUAUACGAGGAUUUAGAAAAGGAAGUACACAUCUUCUCCGACGCCUCAAAGGACGCUGUCGCAGCUGUAGCUUACCUUCGGACCAAAGACACUAAUAAUCAGAUCGGUACAAGCUUUAUCUUUGGAAAAGCGAAAGUCGCACCACAGCAUGGACAUACGAUUCCGCGCUUAGAGCUCUGCGCUGCUGUCUUGGCCACCGAUCUUGGUCGCACCAUAAAUGACCAACUGGACAUUCCCGCGGAAAACAUGCACUUUUACUCUGACAGUAUGGUCGUGUUGGGAUAUUUACAUAAUAGUGUACGAAGAUUUUACGUCUAUGUCGGCAACCGUGUGGACAGGAUACUUGGCUUUACAAAAGCUUCCCAGUGGAGUCACGUUUCUUCUGAAAAGAACCCUGCAGAUGAAGGAACUAGAUGUGUAAAUGCAUGCGAUCUACAAGAAAGUAUGUGGCUGCAGGGAUCAAGUGUUCUAAGGGAGGAUACAGAUCUUGAGACUCCAGGUUAUCCUCUUGUUCAACCAGGCAAGGACGUUGAGGUGAGACAAGAAGUCAAAGUCCUCAAAACUUCCUGUGCAGCACCACAGGGUAUAGGAGCUGAGCGAGUCAAACGUUUCUCUACGUGGAACUCAUUGGUAAGAGGCAUUGCUAACCUCAAGUCCCUUGCAAUUGCUAGUAAAAAUCGAUCAACUACACAUACCCGAAGAGUCACCACAGAUCUUCUUGAGAAAUCCCGGAUCUUUAUACUCCAGGAUGUUCAACAGCAAGUCUACUCUGAAGAACUACAAUGUUUGAGGGAAUCAAAAACUUUGCCUAGUAAGAGCAGCAUCUCUGCUCUGACGCCAAUCUUGGAUCAAGAUGGGAUUCUUCGCGUUGGUGGCCGGCUCAACCGCUCAAACUUCCCGCUGGAGGAUCGGAAUCCUAUCAUAGUGCCUGGAAAGCAGCAUGUGGCUAGGCUCAUUAUCGAACAUUUUCAUUCAGUGGUGCGUCAUCAGGGAAGGCAUCUGACAGAAGGUGCUGUGCGAUCUGCCGGAUAUUGGGUGACCGGUGCCAAGCGCCUAAUUUCUUCUAUUCUCCAUGCUUGUGUUACGUGCUGUCGACUUCGUCGAAAACCAAGCCACCAACAAAUGGCCGAUCUUCCUCCUGACAGAUUAGAGCCAUGCGCUCCAUUCACUUAUGUAGGGGUAGAUGUAUUUGGACCCUGGAACAUCACAACCAGACGUACUCGAGGAGGCGUAUCCCAAUCCAAGCGCUGGGCAGUGCUUUUUACCUGUUUAGUAUCUAGAGCUGCACAUAUAGAGGUGAUUGAGGAAAUGUCUUCUUCCUCUUUCAUAAAUGCUUUACGCCGAUUCAUCUCAAUUCGAGGACCUGUGAGAGAGUUUCGCUCCGACAAUGGAACCAACUUUGUUGGGUGCACUCAAGAUAUGGGAUUCCAGACGAUUAGUGUGGAUGAACCUAAACUGGCCAAUUUCCUAUUGGAGAACAGUACGGUUUGGCGCUUCAAUCCCCCACAUGCCUCCCACAUGGGUGGUGUGUGGGAGCGCAUGAUUGGCACCGCUCGAAGGAUCUUGGAUUCCAUGCUACUGGAUAUGAAAGGUAGAACUCUGACUCACGAAAUACUUACCACUCUGAUGGCAGAAGUAACAGCCAUCAUGAAUUCAAGACCCAUUGCUCCUGUGUCAAUCGAUCCUCAAGAUCCCUCCGUGCUGUCGCCGUCUGCAUUGCUCACUCAAAAGACUUCAAAUUCAUCCGUUAGUUGUGAACAUCUCAGCCAAAAGGACUUAUAUCGGCAUCAAUGGAAAUGCGUUUUGGCAGAAGAGUUUUGGAAAAAGUGGCGGAGAGAGUACCUCGUAAACUUACAGUCGCGCAACAAGUGGCAACAGCAACAGAGAAAUCUCAAAGAAGGUGACAUUGUGCUAAUGAGAGAUCGUAGUGUUGCUCGCAUGGAAUGGCCUCUUGGAAUUAUAAAUCGUGUGUUCAAGAGUGACGAUGAACUUGUGCGAAAAGUGGAGAUUCGCAUUGUACGAGACAACAAAAUCUCAUAUUUUGUCCGCCCGGUGACCGAAGUUGUAUUUCUUACCAGUUCUGAUUGACUUGGUUUAUUUUAGUUAUGUAGGUGAAAUUAUUUCUGAUGAUAAGAAACUUUGAACAUUUCUCAUGUUUUCUGAGUGUCACAAAUCUGAACAAUCUGUUUGUGUUUAAGUAGUGAUAUAGAUCAUAUCAGGAGGGGAGUGUUAUGUUACCAUUAUUGUAUCACAGGGUUAAUUUGAUUAUAAUAUGAUCCGGACAUUACGGUCCGAGUUUUAGUAUGAUCCGGACAUUGCGGUCCAAGCUUUAGUAUGAUCCGGACAUUGCGGUCCGGACGUUAGUCGUACCCUUUGGCAAUCUUAGAGGAAGUUUGCAAUGGCGUGCUCCGGCACUGUACACAUUUCAUGUCAAAGGAAACUUUAGGUCCCCCACAGGUCUUUUACCUUCCUCCGGGGAGUUUUGUGGAAUAAAGUCGUAUAACAUCACA
Pecten maximus is the source of this 7554-nucleotide RNA transcript. RefSeq lists it as uncharacterized. NCBI's taxonomy places the organism in Eukaryota, Metazoa, Mollusca, Bivalvia, Pectinida, Pectinidae. The record is from RefSeq and is a predicted model, not a curated record. The transcript is spliced from 2 exons.